GACGGAGAGUCCAAGCGUUACCCGGAAUUACUGGGCGUAGAGGGUGCGUAGGCGGCCGAAUAAUUCGCGUGUGAAAAGCUGGCGCUCACCGCCAGCCCGGCAUGCGAAAAUGUCCGGCUAGAGGGUGCUAGAGGUGACUGGAAUUCCCGGUGUAGCGGUGAAAUGCUUUGAUAUCGGGAGGAACGCCGAAGGUGAAGACAGGUCACUGGGGCACUUCUGACGCUGAGGCAUGAAAGCUGGGGUAGCAAAUCGGAUUAGAUA
This 261-nucleotide ribosomal RNA is filed under the name uncultured bacterium. RNAcentral describes it as "partial 16S ribosomal RNA". It matches the Rfam family "Bacterial small subunit ribosomal RNA", at positions 524 to 784 of the family's 1533-position model. The record is from RNAcentral.